GAUGAAGAACGUAGUGAAAUGCGAUAAGUAAUGUGAAUCGCAGAAUUCAGUGAAUCAUCGAAUCUUUGAACGCACCUUGCGCUCUUUGGUAUUCCGAAGAGCAUGCCUGUUUGAGUGUCAUGAAAAUAUCAACCUUGACUUGGGUUUUGUGCUCUAGUCUCGGCUUGGAAUUGGGUGCUUGCCGCUUUUACGAGCGGCUCACCUUAAAUGUAUUAGCUGGAUCUGUCUUUGAGACUUGGUUUGACUUGGCGUAAUAAGUAUUUCGCUAAGGACAUUCUUCGGAGUGGCCUCGUUUCUAGGACGCUUGUCCGCUUUCCAAUACAAGUUCCACCUCGUGGACAUGACUUUUUAUUAUCUGGCCUCAAAUCAGGUAGGACUACCCGCUGAACUUAAGCAUAUCAAUAAGCGGAGGA
This 413-nucleotide unclassified non-coding RNA is filed under the name soil metagenome. RNAcentral describes it as "partial contains 5.8S ribosomal RNA, internal transcribed spacer 2, and large subunit ribosomal RNA". The stretch from base 1 to 120 matches the Rfam family "5.8S ribosomal RNA", at positions 35 to 154 of the family's 154-position model. The record is from RNAcentral.